UACGUAGGUGGCAAGCGUUGUCCGGGUUUAUUGGGUUUAAAGGGUGCGUAGGCGGUCUUCUAAGUCAGUUGUGAAAUACUUCAGCUUAACUGGAGAGGUGCAAUUGAUACUGGAAGACUUGAGUACUGAUGAGGUAGGCGGAAUGGACGGUGUAGCGGUGAAAUGCUUAGAUAUCGUCCAGAACACCGAUAGCGAAGGCAGCUUACUAAGGAGUAACUGACGCUGAGGCACGAAAGUGUGGGGAUCAAACAGG
This 253-nucleotide ribosomal RNA is filed under the name uncultured bacterium. Its description in RNAcentral is "partial 16S ribosomal RNA". It matches the Rfam family "Bacterial small subunit ribosomal RNA", at positions 524 to 776 of the family's 1533-position model. The record is from RNAcentral.